This is a long non-coding RNA of Pseudophryne corroboree (corroboree frog), 627 nucleotides long. RefSeq lists it as uncharacterized. NCBI's taxonomy places the organism in Eukaryota, Metazoa, Chordata, Amphibia, Anura, Myobatrachidae. The record is from RefSeq and is a predicted model, not a curated record. The transcript is spliced from 3 exons.
GGGGGGAGUGUUACACGGAGGGGGAGCCAAGUCAGGGCAAGGAUUGUUGCCGAAUAUUUCAGCUGAAUGAUCACACAAACUGUGGACGACAACAACGGCAGAGAUCGCAGCCCCCUUCCCCUUCCCAGUCCCCCUCCCCUUCUCAAUCCCCCUCCCCUUCCCAGUCCCCCUCCCCUUCUCAAUCCCCCUCCCCUUCCCAGUCCACAUCAGCUUCCCACGCCCCUUCAGCUUCCCAGGCCCCCUCAACUUCCCACUCCCCCUCAGCUUCCCAGUCCCCCUCAGCUUCCCAGUCCCCCUCAGCUUCCCAGUCCCCCUCAGCUUCCCAGUCCCCCUCAGCUUCCAACGCCCCCUCAGCUUCCCAGGCCCACUCCACUUUCCACUCCCCUUCUCACCCCACCUCUCCAUCUCUUUCUGUGACCCCUUCUCCUCCUUCCCAUACCCCUUCUCCUUCCACUUCAAAAUCCCCUUCUCAGCCCCCCUCACCCUCUAUUGCCUUAACUUUCUCUCCGCACCCCUCGCCCUCACAAUCAGACCCACCCUCUGAAAAAAAAUCCCCAAUCCAGCCUCCUUCCCCCAUCCAGCCUCCUUCCCCCAUCCCUCCUCCUUCCCCAAUCCCUCCUCCUUCCC